UUCAGCUUUCAGUGUGGUUUCCAAGAUUUUUGGAGGGAGCGUUUAUUUUUAGUAAGUCACCUGUUGGGUCUGUUUAUCAUCUUUCAUCAUCAGGAUCAAUCCUUUGCAAUCAGUUUUUUAUUCCAAUGCAUUUCGACCAUUGUUGCUACUUGUUGUAUUUGUGAGCUGUAUUUAAUUAAUUUUACUAAGGUUGUCUUUUUAAUUAAAAUAAUUUAUUAGGCACCUCAAUACUAUAGCUCAUUGGAAAGAAAGCAAAAAGUGUUAAAUGAUGAGAUGCUAAAAAGUGACUUUAAGUGUUGGAAAUGUUUUAAAAGAAAUAAAUCACUUUUUGGAGUUCUAAGGUUUAUUUAAUUAAUAAAGUUAUUGUAUAAUGGAGUUUCCAGAACGUUCCCAAAAAAAGCUUAUAAAUAAUGGGUUUGAGAGCUCAUUUGGUAUGUAGAAGAUUUAUGUUAUUUCUCUUUGGUGAAACUCUUGGGGUUUUAGGAUUGAACUUGGUUCAAUUCAGCCUUCACGAGGACAAAAACCCUUCUGAAGAAGAUUGGCUUCGGUGGUGAAAGAUCUACCCUAGCUAAUGUUUUGGUGGAGUCACUCAGAUUUUGUAUCUGCACUUCAACAAUUGAGAUUCUUUGGGCAUAAAGAUUCAAAUCUUUUUGGGCGAGAGUCAAAAAUGUUGGGUCUUUUUGAAGAUUGAGAAAAGGGAUUUAAGCUUGAUGCUAUUUGGGUGAGUCAAUCGUGGUCAAAGGAGAUUAUACUGUUGGGCAAUUGGAUUAAAUGUUGGUAUGAUAUAUUGCUGGUCUAUUUCUUCUUUCACCUAGAUGUGAGUCAAUUGGAGCUAUUAGCUGGACGCAAGUAAUGGUUGAUUGUUGAGGUUUGGAAACCAGUGUGAGACUAUUGCAAGUCGAGGAAGGUUCACUUGCUUGGUGCAAGGUGUUAAAGGUUAUACACACUCUCAUUUGGUCGUGAAAAUUAUUGCUACUCUGGUUCGUGGAAAUCAUUGCUAUCCUGUUGCGUGGAAGUCAUUGCUGUCCUGAUGGUUGCCACCUAACCAUAGCCUUGUUGGGCGUGGAUGAGUGGUGAAGAGGCAUGAGUGAAUUUCAUGGUCUUUGGAGCUGUGUUUUAACUUGAGGAAGGACAUGGGUUUGCUGGGAGUCAUGGGACAGGUAAAUUCUUCUUUUUCCAAUCACCACUUCUUUCUGUUUCAGAUUUGGAUCUCAUUCAUGCUGAUUGUGGCACAUAUACCAAGGACGUUGGGAGAUAAGAGUUGUUCUAUUUUGCUGAUCAUGCAUGAAGUCCUUGAGCAAUAUUGUAGCUCAAAGCAAUUAUCUUACGCUAUUAUGUUUUUUUUCAGUGCUUCCAUACUAUUGGUAUUUUCUGUGAAAGUCAGCUCCUUGUACUGCUGUUUCUUUUUGCCGAUAAUAUUGAAGAAUACUACUAUUUCA
Cryptomeria japonica (Japanese cedar) is the source of this 1439-nucleotide long non-coding RNA. RefSeq lists it as uncharacterized. NCBI's taxonomy places the organism in Eukaryota, Viridiplantae, Streptophyta, Pinopsida, Cupressales, Cupressaceae. The record is from RefSeq and is a predicted model, not a curated record. The transcript is spliced from 2 exons.